UAGAGUUUGAUCCUGGCUCAGGAUGAACGCUGGCGGCGUGCUUAACACAUGCAAGUCGAACGAACCUUCGGGUUAGUGGCGGACGGGUGAGUAACGCGUGGGAAUCUGCCCUCAGGAGGGGGAUAACGGCUGGAAACGGCCGCUAAUACCCCAUAUGCCGAGAGGUGAAACGAAUUUCGCCUGAGGAUGAGCCCGCGUCUGAUUAGCUAGUUGGUGAGGUAAGAGCUCACCAAGGCAUCGAUCAGUAGCUGGUCUGAGAGGAUGAUCAGCCACACUGGGACUGAGACACGGCCCAGACUCCUACGGGAGGCAGCAGUGGGGAAUUUUCCGCAAUGGGCGAAAGCCUGACGGAGCAACGCCGCGUGAGGGAUGAAGGCCUCUGGGCUGUAAACCUCUUUUCUCAAGGAAGAAGAUCUGACGGUACUUGAGGAAUAAGCCACGGCUAAUUCCGUGCCAGCAGCCGCGGUAAUACGGGAGUGGCAAGCGUUAUCCGGAAUUAUUGGGCGUAAAGCGUCCGCAGGCGGCCUUUCAAGUCUGCUGUUAAAGCGUGGAGCUUAACUCCAUCAUGGCAGUGGAAACUGUUGGGCUUGAGUGUGGUAGGGGCAGAGGGAAUUCCCGGUGUAGCGGUGAAAUGCGUAGAUAUCGGGAAGAACACCAGUGGCGAAGGCGCUCUGCUGGGCCAUAACUGACGCUCAUGGACGAAAGCCAGGGGAGCGAAAGGGAUUAGAUACCCCUGUAGUCCUGGCCGUAAACGAUGAACACUAGGUGUCGGGGGAAUCGACCCCCUCGGUGUCGUAGCCAACGCGUUAAGUGUUCCGCCUGGGGAGUACGCACGCAAGUGUGAAACUCAAAGGAAUUGACGGGGGCCCGCACAAGCGGUGGAGUAUGUGGUUUAAUUCGAUGCAACGCGAAGAACCUUACCAGGGUUUGACAUCCUGCGAAUCUUUUGGAAACGAGAGAGUGCCUUCGGGAGCGCAGUGACAGGUGGUGCAUGGCUGUCGUCAGCUCGUGUCGUGAGAUGUUGGGUUAAGUCCCGCAACGAGCGCAACCCACGUCUUUAGUUGCCAGCAUUUAGUUGGGCACUCUAGAGAGACCGCCGGUGAUAAACCGGAGGAAGGUGUGGAUGACGUCAAGUCAUCAUGCCCCUUACAUUCUGGGCUACACACGUACUACAAUGCUACGGACAAAGAGCAGCAAGUUCGCGAGGACAAGCAAAUCUCAUAAACCGUGGCUCAGUUCAGAUCGUAGGCUGCAACUCGCCUACGUGAAGGAGGAAUCGCUAGUAAUCGCAGGUCAGCAUACUGCGGUGAAUACGUUCCCGGGCCUUGUACACACCGCCCGUCACACCAUGGAAGUUGGCCACGCCCGAAGCCGUUACUCCAACCCUUGUGGAGGAGGACGUCGAAGGUGGGGCUGAUGACUGGGGUGAAGUCGUAACAAGGUAACCA
Molecule: ribosomal RNA, 1448 nt
Filed under: uncultured bacterium
Lineage: Bacteria
Description: bacterial SSU rRNA
Rfam family: Bacterial small subunit ribosomal RNA
Source: RNAcentral